UCCUCCUCCACCUCCGGGUCCUCCUGGUCCCAUUGCUUCCUCCUAGCUCUCUAACAAAAUCUAGCUGCUAACACCACGAUGAUCCUAUCACCACCGCUGAAGAUUAUACUAGACAAGGUUUGCAAGAAACUCGAAUGCCCUGCUACUUGGCUAACUACAAAGACAUUGGUAAAGCUGUUAAAGAGGAUUGGAUUUUGUACUUAUAGGAAUUUGUAUACUUUGCUUAGGCUGGAAGCAUCUGUCUACCAUUUCACAUUUUUCACAAAUGCUACCCUUCAACCUGAUAUUUGGAUCAAAUUUUCACGGUUGACCUGACAUUCUAAGCUACCAUUCAAGGCUAACUACUAUCUUCAGUCAAAAAGUCCAAUUUGAUUUGAUCAUAAGAGAGAGGUGGCAGUCUUUGGUUGCUCCAUGUCACUACAAGGCCGAGCCAAAUCCCCAAAAAAUCCUCUGAAACCAUGUCAAAACCAAUAUGUAUUCAUUACAUUAGUGCAAUGACGGUGGCAGUGGCGGCAAGCACCACCACCUGUACCAGGAUCAAGUUCAGCUUGGUAACUAAAAAACAAAAGGUUCAGCUUGGUGGAUGUAGAUCUACUUGCAUGGGCUGCCGACAAGAACUUAUCCGUUGAUCCCACAACAUCAAGCUGUGGCAUAAAUAUAAAAGCACCAAAUAGCUAUACGCCUGCAAUUUUAUUUUUUAUUUUUUUAAGAAAAGGAGAUUGUGAACGGCAACUGAAUUUAAAGAUCAUAGAUUUGCUCAAGAACGCAAAAUUAAAUACAGGUGAGCAGACUGGUUUUUUUUGUUUGUUCAUCUUCCGAGGAAGACGAAAAUACAUCUAAAAGUCAGGAGACUAAUAAGAAUACAUUUUCCAACUUAUUAACAUAAAAAUUCAAGUCCCUUACUAACAUUUUCCCCCCCUCAAUUCUCUUCUUAUCAAUAUCAUUGAGAAACACCCUAUGGUUGAUAGAUCGAUGAAAACAUAAAGAUUUUUUCUUUUUUAGUCUUUUGACACGAAGGAUGAAACGUUAGAAACGUUGCCAGUGUUUCAUGCCAGCUCAAUUGCUUCAGAUGUGCUCUAACAACACAACUUUCAACAAUAUACAGAUCUAGUUAGAAUCGCAAUGGUAUUCAUUUUUGAUCUAACAGUAGCAUGUUAACAAUUGUGUAAUUUAGGCGAUCAUUUCUUGUGGGUUUUGGCUUUUGGAUGAAUGACUUUUAUUUAUGCAUGUUUUCUCCGGCUGGAUGUUUUCUUCGGCUUUUGGAUGAAUGACUUUUAUUGUUGGGUUGUUUAGGCUGGCUGAACUAUUCUAGAAGUCGAUUUCAUUAUUUUUUUACUUGUGUUUUUUCUUUGGUUCAUCUUUUUUUUAAUCAAAUUCCCACUACAUCAUUAAACAGUAAUUGUCAAAUUAAUUCUGUCCGUGUAAGGCAUAACAUCUGUCAAUAAAAUUAUUGCCGACGGUCUCACCGACGGAAUCCGUCCGUCGGGAUCCUAAUCGUCGGUAAUUUCCUAUUCUGUCACUAAUUCUAUCGGAAAUAAAAAAAACCAACCACCGACGAAACACCGACAGUAUUAUAGACGGCGACGCGCGGUAAAAAAAAAUAAUCCCGCGAGAAUAUUUCUAACAGAAUACAUCCGUCUGUAUUUUCAACGAUAAUCACCGACGGAUUAUUUAUCGGUGAUGGUGACAUGGCGAUAAAUGUUACAGAACUCUAUCAAAUACCAGUUAAUGCAAUUUUUUUGAUACAUUACCGACAGUGAUGGAUCCAGUUUUUUUGCCAUUACCUAAAUAGCUAUUUUUUAAUGCAAUUCUUGAUUACUAAAAACAAAAGAUUAUGAAGAAAUAGAUAUCAUUGCACGUCUGUAGUACAAGACAUGGAUGAAAUACAUGCAAACAAAGAUAAAAAUAGAAGGAUUUCCUGUAGAAAAAGGGCUGGAGAAUAGGAUAGAAGCCCCAUAACAGAGGGUAGAUCCCUAUACUAAAGGAUUCGAGCAUGGGAUAGGAAACCCUAAAAGAAGAACGUGAAACAUGAGAUGGAAACAUUUGUUGCAGCUAAUCAUCGUCCAGGUGGUCCACGUGGACCCCCAAAGCAGUCUCGUAUUAGCCAGCAACAGCACAGGCAGCUCAAGCUGCCAAGCACACAGCAAUCAAAUAUUAGAGAACAGCAAAACAAGGUUUAAUUCUCAAGAUAAUGCUAAAUAAGUUUUCUGCAUAAAACUAUUAGGAUACUACAAUACUGUUUUACCAUAAUGCUACAGGGAGGGGGGAAAGAAGAAUUUAAAAACCAGCCGUUUAGGGCUUAAAACAGUCCAGAAUUUCUUGGAAAAAAAAGAAAAACGAGUGCUAGAAAUGGGAUAUUUUUGGCAGGGUUUUUUAAACAAAAGGAGAACGAUUAACUGCUAAAUUCUGGAGAGGUUUAAGGAAAAAAUGGUGAAAAGCAACAAAAAAAAAUCAGCUUAACAGCUUGUAAAUCUUGCAAUUUCAGUCACGAAGUUAAUUGUGACAGAAACAAAGUUUUAUAGCAUACCAAGAACCUAUGAUGUCACAAAAGCCACCGAAAAAACCAGGUCCUCCUGGUCCCGGACCCCAUCCUCCUCCACCUCCGGGUCCUCCUCCACCUCGUCCUCCUCCACCUCCGGGUCCUCCUCGUCCUCCUCCACCUCCUCCACCUCCGGGUCCUCCUGGUCCCAUUGCUUCCUCCUAGCUCUCUAACAAAAUCUAGCUGCUAACACCACGAUGAUCCUAUCACCACCGCUGAAGAUUAUACUAGACAAGGUUUGCAAGAAACUCGAAUGCCCUGCUACUUGGCUAACUACACAGACAUUGGUAUAGCUCUUAAAGAGGAUUAGAUUUUAUACUCUAGGAAUAGGGAUACUUUGCUUAGGCUGGAAGCAUCUG
This 2898-nucleotide long non-coding RNA is filed under the name Populus trichocarpa (black cottonwood). RNAcentral describes it as "long non-coding RNA (PTRI_LNC003018)". Lineage: Eukaryota; Viridiplantae; Streptophyta; Magnoliopsida; Malpighiales; Salicaceae. The record is from RNAcentral.